This 1210-nucleotide long non-coding RNA is filed under the name Gadus morhua (Atlantic cod). RNAcentral's name for it is "lncRNA (ENSGMOG00000028487.1)". The record is from RNAcentral. Lineage: Eukaryota; Metazoa; Chordata; Actinopteri; Gadiformes; Gadidae.
AACUUCCAAAUUGUAGACAUCAGCCAAUUGCUGUUGGUGGACUUAGAUUAUACAUUGAUUUUUAACCUACUUCCAACUUCCAACUUCAGGACAUUUACCUACUUCCAGCUUCCAAAUCUACAUAUGUUCAAUGGUGACACUCUGACAAAAAUUCUGACAAAACUUCCAACUUCAGGACAUUUACCUACUUCCAGCUUCCAAAUUGACAUAUAUUCAAUAGUGACACUCUGACAAAAAUUCUGACAAAACUUAGACUAUACAUUGAUUUUUAACCAACUUCCAACUUCAGGACAUUUACCUACUUCCAACUUCCAAAUUGUAGACAUCAGCCAAUUGCUGUUGGUGGACUUAGAUUAUACAUUGAUUUUUAACCUACUUCCAACUUCCAACUUCAGGAAAUGUACCUACUUCCAACUUCCAAAUCGUAGACAUGAACCGAUUGCUGUCGGUGGACUUAGUGUUUGAAUACAUUUUCAACUUCCAAAUUACUGAUGUUUAGUUUUACCAUGGAGUACUACUGCCCCUAGAGGUUUUUCGAAUUACACUUCCAAAUCCAGACGUACAUUUUUUGGACUCAGUGCUGCCGCCCUUUAGUACGGGAGUACAAAUUUCCAACAUCCAAAUUCAGCAUCCAAAUUCGAGCAUCCAACUUCAACAUCCAAAUCCAGGGUCCAACUUCAGACUUCGAAGGUCCGACUUUACACCUACUUCAAUGGUGACACUCUGUCAAAAAGUCCAAAUUGGAGGGGGGUCAGUCGAGCUGAAUCUUGACUUUCCAAAUCGGGUAUUAAACUCCAUGUUAAAUUGGCCUCAAACCUUAACCCUAACCCUAACCCUAAGCUAUUUUCUCGGCCUAGGAAGGGGCUAGAAACAUAAUUCUUGCAGAUUCAGGGUCGGACCAAGCCCAGCAAAAAAAAGGUAUGAAAAAAAAAUGAAAAAAAAGAAAAAAAAAAAGAAAAAUUUUGAUCGGUUUUAAGUUAUUUUCUCGGCCUAGGAAGGGGCUAAAAACAUAAUUCUUGCAGAUUCAGGGUCGGACCGAGCACAGAAAAAAGAAGGUAUGAAAAAAAAGAGAAAAAAAAAAUGAAAAUUUCAAAUUUCUUAUCAAAAAAAAAAGAAAAAAAAAAAAGACUCGAAAUGGCCUAAAACGUGCUCCUAGACACUUUCUGUGGGAACUUAUUUUUUCACUAACAAAUUUUGUUGACUCCGCACU